Molecule: ribosomal RNA, 922 nt
Filed under: uncultured Bacillota bacterium
Lineage: Bacteria; Bacillati; Bacillota
Description: bacterial SSU rRNA
Rfam family: Bacterial small subunit ribosomal RNA
Source: RNAcentral
GGAUCCAGACUUUGAUUCUGGCUCAGGAUGAACGCUAGCUACAGGCUUAACACAUGCAAGUCGAGGGGCAGCGGGAUUGAAGCUUGCUUCAAUUGCCGGCGACCGGCGCACGGGUGAGUAACGCGUAUCCAACCUUCCGUACACUCAGGGAUAGCCUUUCGAAAGAAAGAUUAAUACCUGAUGGUAUGAUGAGAUUGCAUGAUAGCAUCAUUAAAGAUUUAUCGGUGUACGAUGGGGAUGCGUUCCAUUAGGUAGUAGGCGGGGUAACGGCCCACCUAGCCAACGAUGGAUAGGGGUUCUGAGAGGAAGGUCCCCCACAUUGGAACUGAGACACGGUCCAAACUCCUACGGGAGGCAGCAGUGAGGAAUAUUGGUCAAUGGACGAGAGUCUGAACCAGCCAAGUAGCGUGAAGGAUGAAGGUCCUACGGAUUGUAAACUUCUUUUAUAAGGGAAUAAACCCUCCCACGUGUGGGAGCUUGUAUGUACCUUAUGAAUAAGCAUCGGCUAACUCCGUGCCAGCAGCCGCGGUAAUACGGAGGAUGCGAGCGUUAUCCGGAUUUAUUGGGUUUAAAGGGAGCGCAGACGGGUCGUUAAGUCAGCUGUGAAAGUUUGGGGCUCAACCUUAAAAUUGCAGUUGAUACUGGCGCCCUUGAGUGCGGUUGAGGUGUGCGGAAUUCGUGGUGUAGCGGUGAAAUGCUUAGAUAUCACGAAGAACUCCGAUUGCGAAGGCAGCACACUAAUCCGUAACUGACGUUCAUGCUCGAAAGUGUGGGUAUCAAACAGGAUUAGAUACCCUGGUAGUCCACACGGUAAACGAUGGAUACUCGCUGUUGGCGAUAUACUGUCAGCGGCUUAGCGAAAGCGUUAAGUAUCCCACCUGGGGAGUACGCCGGCAACGGUGCAACUCAAAUGAAUUGACGG